RNAcentral lists this ribosomal RNA (440 nucleotides) under uncultured bacterium. Its description in RNAcentral is "partial 16S ribosomal RNA". It matches the Rfam family "Bacterial small subunit ribosomal RNA", at positions 338 to 795 of the family's 1533-position model. The record is from RNAcentral.
CCUACGGGUGGCUGCAGUGGGGAAUAUUGCACAAUGGGGGAAACCCUGAUGCAGCGACGCCGCGUGAGUGAAGAAGUCUCUCGGUAUGUAAAGCUCUAUCAGCAGGGAAGAAAAUGACUGUCCCUGACUAAGACGCCCCGGCUAACUACGUAACAGCAGCCGCGGUAAUACGUAGGGGGCAAGCGUUAUCCGGAUUUACUGGGUGUAAAGGGAGCGUAGACGGCGCUGCAAGUCCGGAGUGAAAGCCUAUGGCUUAACCAUGGUACUGCUCUGGAACGUGUGGAGCUGGAGUGCGGGCGGGGCAGGCGGAAGUCCUAGGGUAGCGGGGAAAGGCGUAGAUAGUAGGAGGAACACCAGCGGCGAAGGCGGCCUGCUGGACCGUAACUGACGUGGAGGCUCGAAAGCGUGGGGAGCAAACAGGAUUAGAUACCCGGGUAGUC